RNAcentral lists this ribosomal RNA (540 nucleotides) under uncultured bacterium. Its description in RNAcentral is "bacterial SSU rRNA". It matches the Rfam family "Bacterial small subunit ribosomal RNA", at positions 100 to 674 of the family's 1533-position model. The record is from RNAcentral.
GACGGGUGAGUAACGCGUGGGAACCUUCCCAGUGGUACGGAAUAGCUCAGGGAAACUUGGGGGUAAUACCGUAUAAGCCCGAAAGGGGAAAGAUUUAUCGCCAUUGGAUGGGCCCGCGUCGGAUUAGCUAGUUGGUGAGGUAAUGGCUCACCAAGGCGACGAUCCGUAGCUGGUCUGAGAGGAUGAUCAGCCACACUGGGACUGAGACACGGCCCAGACUCCUACGGGAGGCAGCAGUGGGGAAUAUUGGACAAUGGGCGCAAGCCUGAUCCAGCCAUGCCGCGUGAGUGACGAAGGCCUUAGGGUUGUAAAGCUCUUUUGGCGGGGACGAUAAUGACGGUACCCGCAGAAUAAGCCCCGGCUAACUUCGUGCCAGCAGCCGCGGUAAUACGAAGGGGGGCUAGCGUUGUUCGGAAUCACUGGGCGUAAAGCGCACGUAGGCGGAUUUGUUAGUCAGGGGUGAAAUCCCGGGGCUCAACCUCGGAACUGCCUUUGAUACUGCAAGUCUCGAGUCCGGAAGAGGUGAGUGGAAUUCCUAGU